CUGUCGCUGUCUCUCACUCUCGCUGUCUCUCCCACUCUCGAUGUCUCUCUCUCACUCUUUCUGGUUUGCUGAGUGUUUCUGAUGCACACAGCAGUUUGCUUUCUGUUCACACACAGUCAGGGUUGGAGUAAAAGUAUGGGUGAGGAAAGAACAGAGCAAUAUACAAAUACAUUCCUCUACAUUCCGGAAUACAUUCCGUUUCGACCAGAAGCGGUGCCUCCGCUUGACAACUCUUCACUGCUAAAGGUUGUCCGCUUUGUGGGCGUAGGCGUGAACCUAUAGAGAAUAUGGAGAGCUGCAAAAGCCUGUCUGUAGAUGAAGAGGUCCCAGUGAAUGUCCCAAGAGACUGCUGGCAUAUCCUUAUAUGCCAUGAGUUGUAUGUGUACUUAUGUUAGUAAAUGUUUUAUACAACAUUACAGUUAAAAGUCACACAUAAUGUAGGCUACAAACGUAUUACAACUGUAGCAGGCCAAUCCUUCUCCCAGAGGUCUGCUGGGUGUGCAGGCUUCUGUUCCAGAUCAGCACUAACACUCCCGAUUCAACUUAUCAAACCUAAUGAGUUGAUAAUAAUGUGUAUUAUUUCUGUGCUGGAAUAGAAGUCUGCUCACUCAGUAGAUCAGGAAGUGGAACAAGGUUGGCCACCUCUGGUAGGGACUGUCGUGACGUGGCUAUCAUUGAUGCUGUUAUUUUAAUAAAUCAAUUAACUAUGUUUAAUUAUUAGACAUGAUUAAAUGAAUCAGGUAACAAUUAACUCAUUAGCAAUCUUGGGGCACCACGGGAAAAGUUAGUUUAAUGACUUAGCGUUUCCCGAAUUAAGAAUCAGAAUAUAUAUCAGAAUAUAUCGUUUUCAUACCAGUCAUCCAUUAAUCAUUAUUACCUCAUAUCAGUUUCAUUCUGAAAGUCGUUGACUUCAUAUAUCUGCACAAACCCUUGUCUAAAUGAUGAUUCACCGAUACACAAAUUGGCUUAAUUAUUUAUUUACUAACUAACUAAAGAAUCACACAGAAAUACACAGAGUGGGCUUAUUGUACAUACAUGUGGAAAAUACGCUCAUCGUAAAUAUGGAUAUUUAGCACCCUAACAACCACUCAUUCGGAUGGAUUUAGAAAUGCAACACAUAUUUACACUUGUAUGUCUUUGUUGUCUCUUUUGAAAUCUAUCUAUGGGGAGUCAGUUUGACAGAGGUCUCUGAUUUGUCCACCAGAGGUCACUAUGUCCUUUGUAGUUGUAGUAGUAGGCUUCUUUGUCUCGGAGUGUUCAUUAGACAAGAUCCUUCAGAGGUGGUCUUUGGUCGAGUUUACUAGACUAAAGUACAUAAACAGCUGCAGACUGAACGUUCCUGUGUAGUCUAGAGAGUUUCUAUCAAUUUCGUGACAUUCAGCUCACGCUGUCGGUCACGCUGGUCUGUAUUGAAAUUGCAACCAUUUCAGCGUAUUCAGCUCGCGCUGCACGUAUACCUGUUUAAUAUGUUAAUUCUUCAGCGAGUCCUUUUAUGCACUCGCCUUGGAGGGCGGUUCCAUCACGUUGCCACAAUGUCUGUGCUCACGUUGCCGUGGUUACUGACUUGGCAAAAGUUUAAAUGAAAAACAGUUAUCUAAUUAAGAAGGCUAAAAUCAUGUUUAAUCUUAUCACAAAUGGUUUCAAAUUUAAUCAUAUAAAAUUACAACAUUUAGAUGUAAAUCUGAUAACUGGGAUGUAUACAUUUGUAGAGUUACCAUUAUCUUGUAAUACCAUCCUUAAUGACCUUACAAAACAAUAUACUUUUGCCAUAAUUAUUGUUUGGAUCCCCACAAACCAUUUCCCAUAUUUUUUAUGUUACAAAUAUUGUUUCAUUAUCCACUGUUGGAUGUUAGAGUUUUGGCGUCCGAUUCUCUCUCUACACACAUCAUAUUCCUUUGUUCAAUGCUGCCGGGCCAGAGAGAGAAAGUUUACGACUGGUCGUUAAAGUUAUAAAACUGGCCCACUUCCCCCCUUCCUCUCUAGUGGGAGAGGGGGGGGGGGGGCUCUCUUUUAUCCUCACCCUGGAAGGAAAAUCAUGACAGGACUUUUUUGUUCACCUAGAAAUGAUGCUUUAGUAAUAGUAGCUUACUUACUAAGAUGUCUGACAUUUAUAAACAAGUUAGAUUAUUUGUACAUUUUGAAAUUAUAUUUAGAUUAAUUUAUGUUGAUUAAUUGAAGUUAAGUUUUUAAACUUGUUUUAAUUGUUAACUUAAAAACAAUAUUUAAGAAGAACUUGUGUCAACGUUCAUUCAUUUUGCAAUAAAAAGGUGUGAAGGG
Oncorhynchus mykiss (rainbow trout) is the source of this 2277-nucleotide long non-coding RNA. RefSeq lists it as uncharacterized. NCBI's taxonomy places the organism in Eukaryota, Metazoa, Chordata, Actinopteri, Salmoniformes, Salmonidae. The record is from RefSeq and is a predicted model, not a curated record.